CCUACGGGAGGCAUCAGUCGGGAAUCUUCCACAAUGGGCGAAAGCCUGAUGGAGCAACGCCGCGUGGGUGAAGAAGGUCUUCGGAUCGUAAAACCCUGUUGUUAGAGAAGAAAGUGCGUGAGAGUAACUGUUCACGUUUCGACGGUAUCUAACCAGAAAGCCACGGCUAACUACGUGCCAGCAGCCGCGGGAAUACGUAGGUGGCAAGCGUUAUCCGGAUUGAUUGGGCGUAAAGGGAACGCAGGCGGUCUUUUAAGUCUGAUGUGAAAGCCUUCGGCUUAACCGGAGUAGUGCAUUGGAAACUGGGAGACUUGAGUGCAGAAGAGGAGAGUGGAACUCCAUGUGUAGCGGUGAAAUGCGUAGAUAUAUGGAAGAACACCAGUGGCGAAGGCGGCUCUCUGGUCUGUAACUGACGCUGAGGUUCGAAAGCGUGGGUAGCAAACAGGAUUAGAUACCCCAGUAGUC
RNAcentral lists this ribosomal RNA (465 nucleotides) under uncultured bacterium. Its description in RNAcentral is "partial 16S ribosomal RNA". It matches the Rfam family "Bacterial small subunit ribosomal RNA", at positions 338 to 795 of the family's 1533-position model. The record is from RNAcentral.